CCUACGGGAGGCAGCAGUGAGGAAUAUUGGUCAAUGGGCUUACGCCUGCACCAGCCAAUUCGCGUGAGGGAAGACGGUCCUAUGGAUUGUAAACCUCUUUUGUCUGGGAGCAAAAGACGCCACGCGUGGCGUUCCGAGAGUACCCGAAGAAAAAGCAUCGGCUAACCCCGUGCCAGCAGCCGCGGGAAUACGGAGGAUGAGAGCGUUAUCCGGAUUUAUUGGGUUUAAAGGGUGCGCAGGCGGAAGAUCAAGUCAGCGGUAAAAUUGAGAGGCUCAACCUCUUCGAGCCGUUGAAACUGGUUUUCUUGAGUGAGCGAGAAGUAUGCGGAAGCAGUGGUGUAGCGGUGAAAUGCAUAGAUAUCACGCAGAACUCCGAUUGCGAAGGCAGCAGACCGGCGCUCAACUGACGCUCAUGCACGAAAGUGUGGGUAUCGAACAGGAUUAGAUACCCCAGUAGUC
RNAcentral lists this ribosomal RNA (459 nucleotides) under uncultured bacterium. RNAcentral's name for it is "partial 16S ribosomal RNA". It matches the Rfam family "Bacterial small subunit ribosomal RNA", at positions 338 to 795 of the family's 1533-position model. The record is from RNAcentral.